Musa acuminata AAA Group (dessert banana) is the source of this 1023-nucleotide long non-coding RNA. RefSeq lists it as uncharacterized. The transcript has 2 exons. The record is from RefSeq and is a predicted model, not a curated record. Lineage: Eukaryota; Viridiplantae; Streptophyta; Magnoliopsida; Zingiberales; Musaceae.
CAUUUUUUUAUGGCGUGGCAGUGCGGAAGGCCACGCAGUCUCCCGCUCCUCCUCCUAUCUCCUGUUCAUUUGGAUUCGGUUCUUCCCCAAUUCUGCCCGCCAAUCUUUAUUUGGGCUACCAUUUUGUUUCUUCUCUCCUCUGAUCGACGAUUUCCGGAGAUUAGAUCGCGGGUUUCAUCUCGGAACUACUGCGACAGCCAGAUCAGUUCUCUUCCGUCUGAAUUCUGGCGAGAUCUCGCCGCGAUUCGACAGAUCCGGCCGGUUGGGAUGUUUCUCUUCUGCGGCGUCCUCGACGCAGAAGGACGCGAAGAAGAUCUUGCUCCUGGGACUUGAUAAUGCCCGGAAUGAUGACGCUGCUCCAUAUGUUCCACCGUUUGAUGGGUUCCAUGCCUGUGUCGUUGCUCUUAUGGAAUUCGAAUAGCCAUUGGUUGAGUUCUGUGUCUAGUUGCAGAGGUUGGCUCAGCACCAGCCGACGUCAGAGGAGCUGAGCAUCGGGAAGAUCCAGUUUAAUGCCUUUGAUUUGGGUGGCCACCAUAUCUUAUAUUCUGAUAUUUGCCUUCGCUUACCCACCGGAAAAGAAAAGGCUUGAUUGUCAGGCUGAUGCUGUGUUGCAUCUAAGUGGAUGUGCAUGACAAUGAGAGGAAGGAGCUGAAUGUGCUUCUCUCACUCCGAUGAAGCUCUGGCAAAUAUUCCUUUCCUCCUUUUGGGUAACAAGAUUGACAUUCCAUAUGCAGAAUCCGAAGAAGAGUUGUGCUUCCCAUCUAGGCCUGAGCAAGUUCACAACCGGAAGGGGAAAGGUCAACCUUGUGGAUUGUAAUGUACACCCCCUCGAAGUCUUCAUGUUCAGUAUCAUGCGUAAGAAUGGCUAAGGUGAUCGCUUCAAGUGGCGUUCACAGUACAUUAAGUUGGAUGCUAUACGUGUGUUGCCUUUACUUGGCUUUCACAAACAGCAAAAAAACCUUGCAAGUUGUUUGUGAAGCAUUUUGAUCUCAAUAUUAUGUUGGGUGGAGACCGGUUAAACCA